UCCGAGUUGACCCCGGCAGUAUCCCAUGAGUUCCCACCAUUACGUGCUGGCAACAUAGGACGAGGGUUGCGCUCGUUGCGGGACUUAACCCAACAUCUCACGACACGAGCUGACGACAACCAUGCACCACCUGUGCAGGGCCCUUGCGGACCCCGUAUCUCUACGAGAUUUCCCUGCAUGUCAAGCCUUGGUAAGGUUCUUCGCGUUGCGUCGAAUUAAACCACAUGCUCCACCGCUUGUGCAGGCCCCCGUCAAUUCCUUUGAGUUUUAGCCUUGCGGCCGUACUCCCCAGGCGGGGUGCUUAAUGCGUUAGCUUCGGCACCGAAACCCUAAGGGCCCCGACAGCUAGUCAUCAUCGUUUACGGCGUGGACUAC
Molecule: unclassified non-coding RNA, 375 nt
Filed under: uncultured Actinomycetes bacterium
Lineage: Bacteria; Bacillati; Actinomycetota; Actinomycetes
Description: uncultured actinobacterium contains 16S-23S intergenic spacer region
Source: RNAcentral